Molecule: transfer RNA, 67 nt
Filed under: Parapsyche elsis
Lineage: Eukaryota; Metazoa; Arthropoda; Insecta; Trichoptera; Hydropsychidae
Description: tRNA-Ala
Rfam family: tRNA
About the family: Transfer RNA (tRNA) molecules are approximately 80 nucleotides in length. Their secondary structure includes four short double-helical elements and three loops (D, anti-codon, and T loops).
Source: RNAcentral
GGGAUUAUAAUUUAAUUAAAAUAAUUGAUUUGCAAUCAAUUUAUAUUGAAUACAUCAAUUUAUCUUA